AGCGCCCGCUCUGCUAUAAAUUAACCCCAAAUCCAAUACCCAGCAUCCACUUUCUCCAAAAUUAGCCGCGAUUCAAAGCUUCUUAUUUUACUUUCUCCGUUGUUCAAGCGAAGGAUAGAUGGCUCGUACCAAGCAGACCGCUAGGAAGUCCACAGGAGGCAAAGCCCCACGGAAGCAGCUGGCAACAAAGGCAGCUCGCAAGUCAGCACCAGCCACCGGAGGUGUCAAGAAGCCCCACCGAUUCAGGC
This 248-nucleotide unclassified non-coding RNA is filed under the name Hevea brasiliensis (rubber tree). Lineage: Eukaryota; Viridiplantae; Streptophyta; Magnoliopsida; Malpighiales; Euphorbiaceae. The record is from RNAcentral.